Molecule: long non-coding RNA, 1102 nt
Organism: Etheostoma spectabile (orangethroat darter)
Lineage: Eukaryota; Metazoa; Chordata; Actinopteri; Perciformes; Percidae
Exons: 2
Source: RefSeq, a predicted model, not a curated record
AUGUUACCUGUUCAGUUUGGACGGCCUGUAGCCUCACAGUCCCGCUGUCACAACACGCAGCUGAAGUUAUACAAGACCGAAAGCAAAACAACGGCUGGCUCGGGAAGUGGGGUCUCGAGCUGGAAAUCCCCCUCCUCUCUCGCGUCGGGUGACGCGCGCGAGCAGCGUCGCGGAAGUUUCUUGGCAGCGUGCGCGCUCCCCCAAAAACCUGAACGAAGAGGGCUCACUCUGCUCUUAUUUCUUGGCACCACAAAAGUCAACAUAAACCUCUUCUCAGGCUUUAUUUAUUUAUUAUUUAGAACUUGUACUAUAAAUGCAGCAGUGUUAGCAACGAGGUUGUUUUUCAGAUUUUACACUGUCACCCUAAAAGUAUAUAUAUGUAAUUAUAUAAGUAAUGUAUAUAAGUAUAUAUUUUUUUGCACCUUUGACUUACACUUGACUGGAUUGUGGUACUAAUGUAAUCAUCACGAUGAAGACCAUGUUAUGUUUGUUUUAUGCAUCUGUUUCAUACAAUAACAGUAUUCCAUAAGUGCAGUGAAUAUAUGUGUGUAUUUAGGUCUGUGUGUGUGUAUUUGUGUAUGUAUGUAUGCGCAUAUAUAUGUAGCCAUGCACAUACUUAGACUUUUUUUUUACUUAGACAUUGUCCCUCUUUAUUUAAUUUAAAUAAUUACUAUUUUCAUUUAUAUAUAUAUAUAUAUAUAUAUAUAUAUAUAUAUAUAUAUAUAUAUAUUUUAUCCUUAUUUUUGUCAUAUACACAAAUCACAAUUGCACUGAAAAUUGUUUUUGAAAAUAUGCUAAUAAAGAGUUUUGGGGAAAAAAGGCUAAAAAAAACAUUAGGCCCACUAGAAUUAGUUAAAUUAAAGGAACCUGCGUCCUUUGAAUAUAUUAUAGAAUUACAACAAUACAUAACUCUCAAUACUCAUCUGUGCAAUUCAAAUGAAGUGCAUAUGUAGUUCAAUAUUUUUGUUAUUAUUUCUGAUUUGUUAUUGCAUUAGCUACAUACCUCUUUGAGUAUGUUUUAUGACCUGGCUGCUGUAACAACACAAACUCAGUUUGGUUUUCCUUUCUGUUUUAUCCUAGCCACACCACGGGUUAUGAAGUU